This 311-nucleotide non-coding RNA is filed under the name Protocruzia adhaerens. The record is from RNAcentral. Lineage: Eukaryota; Ciliophora; Spirotrichea.
GCUUGGUUACUACAAUUUAGCAUGGCUGCCAGUUUCUACGGAAACAUCUACAAGUAUUGGAUGAAGAUCGAGGAUCUCAGUAUUAUGUGUUGUGAUUUCUUGACCAGAACGUUCAGAGGGUUUGGUUUACCCCCUCUUUUGGUGUGGGCACUCUCUGGAAUGGUCAUUCCUUACUGGCUUGUCACCUUCAUGGUUUAUCGUUUCCACUACAAUUACAUCUUGGGGGAAACAAUGUAUGGUGGACAUUGCUGGAUUGUUAUGAUGGGUUUGUAUUGGUGCCAACUGUGCUUCUUCAUUAUUUCAGUUAAAUA